CUUGCCUAAAUUGUUGUAGUAGGCCACGUGCACGUGGAUUUAUAUCUCCACUACUUCUGGUAUUUGCAAUUUUUUCAAGUGUUUCCAAAAUCAGCUGGUAAUUAUCCAGAAUUUUUUUCACAGGCUUCACUCUAACAGUCCAGCGUGUUGGGCACAAUGGUUUAAUAUGCAAGACUUUAAUAGGCCCUUCAGCUUCACGAUGCACAAUUUCUGAAAAUGUGUUUCUGCAUUUCAUAGAUUGCCCAAAGAGUUUGCCAAGAUCUUGCACAAACAUAAGUGCAUCUUCCAUUAUUGGACAUUGAUGUGCUGCGGCCUGCAUAACUAAAUUUGUGCAAUGUGCAUCGCAAUGGACAUAAAUGGCAAGUGGUUGUUCCUGCUUGAUUAAUGCCUGGGUACCAUGAUAUUUACCAGCCAUAUUUGAAGCUCCAUCAUAUAUUUGCCCUCUCAACAUUGACAUACAAAGCCCAU
This is a non-coding RNA of Pelobates cultripes (western spadefoot toad), 468 nucleotides long. Lineage: Eukaryota; Metazoa; Chordata; Amphibia; Anura; Pelobatidae. The record is from the annotation of a GenBank genome assembly.